This 374-nucleotide ribosomal RNA is filed under the name uncultured organism. RNAcentral describes it as "partial 16S ribosomal RNA". It matches the Rfam family "Bacterial small subunit ribosomal RNA", at positions 527 to 896 of the family's 1533-position model. The record is from RNAcentral.
GUAGGUGGCAAGCGUUGUCCGGAAUUAUUGGGCGUAAAGCGCGCGCAGGUGGUUCUUUAAGUCUGAUGUGAAAGCCCCCGGCUCAACCGGGGAGGGUCAUUGGAAACUGGGGAACUUGAGUGCAGGAGAGGAAAGUGGAGUUCCACGUGUAGCGGUGAAAUGCGUAGAUAUGUGGAGGAACACCAGUGGCGAAGGCGACUUUCUGGCCUGUAACUGACACUGAGGCGCGAAAGCGUGGGGAGCAAACAGGGAUUAGAUACCCUGGUAGUCCACGCCGUAAACGAUGAGUGCUAAGUGUUGGGGGGGUUUCCCGCCCCUCAGUGCUGCAGCUAACGCAUUAAGCACUCCGCCUGGGGAGUACGGUCGCAAGACUG